This 1422-nucleotide ribosomal RNA is filed under the name metagenome. RNAcentral's name for it is "bacterial LSU rRNA". It matches the Rfam family "Bacterial large subunit ribosomal RNA", at positions 1033 to 2468 of the family's 2925-position model. The record is from RNAcentral.
CAUCAAUUAAGGUCCCCAAGUUCAUGUUAACAGACUAAGGAUGUUGAGUUGCUUAGACAACUAGAAUGUUGGCUUAGAAGCAGCCAUUCAUUUAAAGAGUGCGUAAUAGCUCACUAGUCGAGCGACUCAGCGCCGAUAAUACUCGGGACUAAACAUGGCACCGAAAUUGUGGACUUCGUAAGGAGUGGUAGGGGAGCAUUCUAUUGGCGACUGCGGCGAACGCAGGUCCUUCGGGACGAAGGUGUCCGGCGACGGAUGCUGGAGUAAAUAGAAAAGAAAAUGUUGGCAUAAGUAACGAUAAACAAGAUGAAAAAUCUUGUCACCGCAAAUCCAAGGUUUCCUGAGCAAUGUUAAUCAUCUCAGGGUUAGUCGGUCCCUAAGCUGAGGCCAAACGGCGUAAGUAAUGGGAAACAGGUUAAAUAUUCCUGUACCUUCGACAUUUAAACCAAAAUGACGCAAAAGUGAAAGGAGAGCCACCUGAUGGAUGGUGGUCUAAGGUCGUAGGGACGAGCAAUCGUUUUGAAAGCUGAAGGGGAUGGCGCAAGCCUACAAACUCUCCCUAAUCAUGUUGCCAAGAAAAGCUUUGGUGUAUACUAAGAAGACCGUACCGUAAACCGACACAGGUAGAUGAGGAGAGUAUCCUAAGGUGCUCGAGUGAGCCGUAGUCAAGGAACUCGGCAAAUUAACCCCGUAACUUCGGGAAAAGGGGUGCCCUCCUAUGGAGGGUCGCAGAGAAAUGGGCCAAGCGACUGUUUAACAAAAACACAUGUCUAUGCAAAGCCUUUAAGGCGAAGUAUAUGGACUGACACCUGCCCGGUGCUGGAAGGUUAAGAGGAGAGGUUAGCUUUCGGGCGAGGCUUUGAAUCGAAGCCCCAGUAAACGGCGGCCGUAACUAUAACGGUCCUAAGGUAGCGAAAUUCCUUGUCGGGUAAGUUCCGACCUGCACGAAUGGUGUAACGAUUUGGCCACUGUCUCGACUACGGGCUCGGUGAACUUGUGGUACCGGUGAAGACGCCGGUUACCUGCAUAUGGACGAAAAGACCCCGUGCACCUUUACUGCACCUUAGCAUUGUGUUUGGACACAACAUGUGUAGAAUAGGUGGGAGACUAUGAAGCGGUGGCGCUAGCCAUCAUGGAGUCGCAAUGUGAAAUACCACCCUUGUUUUGUUCGAAUUCUAACCUGGGCUCUUGAAUCAGAGUCGGGGACAGUGCUAGGCGGGUAGUUUGACUGGGGCGGUCCCUCCUAAAAAGUAACGGAGGCUUUCAAAGGUACCCUCAGCAUGGUUGGUAAUCAUGCGUAGAGCGCAAAGGCAAAAGGGUGCUUAACUGUGAGACUUACAAGUCGAACAGGUGCGAAAGCAGGACUUAGUGAUCCGACGGUAGAGUGUGGAAUUGCCGUCGCUUAAAGGAUAAAAGGUACGC